Molecule: ribosomal RNA, 520 nt
Filed under: uncultured bacterium
Lineage: Bacteria
Description: bacterial SSU rRNA
Rfam family: Bacterial small subunit ribosomal RNA
Source: RNAcentral
AGAGUUUGAUUAUGGCUCAGGAUGAACGCUAGCGGCAGGCUUAACACAUGCAAGUCGAGGGGCAGCGGGAUGUAGCAAUACAUUGCCGGCGACCGGCGGAUGGGUGCGUAACGCGUAUGCAACCUACCUUAUACAGGGGAAUAACCUUUCGAAAGGGAGACUAACACCCCAUAGUAUUGAUUUAAGGCAUCUUAGAUUAAUUAAAUAUUUAUAGGUAGGUAAGAUGGGCAUGCGUAUGAUUAGCUAGUUGGUAAGGUAACGGCUUACUAAGGCGACGAUCAUUAGGGGUUCUGAGAGGAAGGUCCCCCACACUGGUACUGAGACACGGACCAGACUCCUACGGGAGGCAGCAGUGAGGAAUAUUGGUCAAUGGGCGCAAGCCUGAACCAGCCAUGCCGCGUGCAAGGAAGACGGCCUUAUGGGUUGUAAACUGCUUUUACAUAAGACUAACCGUAUAUUUGCGAAUAUACCUGAAUGUAUUAUGAGAAUAAGGAUCGGCUAACUCCGUGCCAGCAGCGGC